RNAcentral lists this ribosomal RNA (291 nucleotides) under uncultured Smithella sp. Its description in RNAcentral is "partial 16S ribosomal RNA". It matches the Rfam family "Bacterial small subunit ribosomal RNA", at positions 1090 to 1382 of the family's 1533-position model. The record is from RNAcentral. Lineage: Bacteria; Pseudomonadati; Thermodesulfobacteriota; Syntrophia; Syntrophales; Smithellaceae.
CAACGAGCGCAACCCUUAUCUUUAAUUGCCAGCAUUCAGUUGGGCACUUUAAAGAGACUGCCGGUGUUAAACCGGAGGAAGGUGGGAUGACGUCAAGUCCUCAUGGCCUUUAUGCUUAGGGCUACACACGUGCUACAAUGGGUGGUACAAAGAGAAGCCAACUCGCGAGAGCGCGCCAAUCUCAAAAAGCCAUCCUCAGUUCGGAUUGGAGUCUGCAACUCGGCUCCAUGAAGUUGGAAUCGCUAGUAAUGGCACAUCAGCUACGGUGCCGUGAAUACGUUCCCGGGUCUU